AUGGGAGUCGUACGCCCCCGGGUUCAAGGGGGCGUGGCGGACGGCUGAGUAACACGUGGCUAACCUACCCUCGGGACGGGGACAACCCCGGGAAACUGGGGAUAAUCCCCGAUAGGAGAAGGGUGCUGGAACGCCCCUUCUCCGAAAGGGCCGCGGGCUACCGCUCGCGGUCGCCCGAGGAUGGGGCUGCGGCCCAUCAGGUAGUUGGCGGGGUAGCGGCCCGCCAAGCCUAUAACGGGUAGGGGCCCUGAUAGGGGGAGCCCCCAGUUGGGCACUGAGACAAGGGCCCAGGCCCUACGGGGCGCACCAGGCGCGAAACGUCCCCAAUGCGCGAAAGCGUGAGGGCGCCACCCCGAGUGCCCCCGAAAGGGGGCUUUUCCCCGCUCUAAAAAGGCGGGGGAAUAAGCGGGGGGCAAGUCUGGUGUCAGCCGCCGCGGUAAUACCAGCUCCGCGAGUGGUUGGGACGUUUACUAGGCCUAAAGCGCCUGUAGCCGGCCCCGUAAGUCCCUCCCUAAAGGCCCGGGCUCAACCCGGGAACCGGGAGGGAUACUGCGGGGCUAGGGGGCGGGAGAGGCGGGGGGUACUCCCGGAGUAGGGGCGAAAUCCGUAGAUACCGGGAGGACCACCAGUGGCGAAGGCGCCCCGCUAGAACGCGCCCGACGGUGAGAGGCGAAAGCCGG
RNAcentral lists this ribosomal RNA (680 nucleotides) under uncultured archaeon. Its description in RNAcentral is "bacterial SSU rRNA". It matches the Rfam family "Archaeal small subunit ribosomal RNA", at positions 51 to 714 of the family's 1478-position model. The record is from RNAcentral.